This 7511-nucleotide long non-coding RNA is filed under the name Sarcophilus harrisii (Tasmanian devil). RNAcentral's name for it is "lncRNA (ENSSHAG00000029382.1)". Lineage: Eukaryota; Metazoa; Chordata; Mammalia; Dasyuromorphia; Dasyuridae. The record is from RNAcentral.
GUACAAUCAAAUUAUACAUGUAUUCUUUUUUGUAUAUCCACAACAGAAAUACAAUACUCAAGAGUUAUUUUUACCUUUUCUCCAUCUCUUGAGUUCUAUGGUUGGAGAUCAAAUUUUUUGUUUAGUUCUGGUUUUUUCUUCAGAAACAGAUAGAAUUCAUUUGUUUCAUUAAAUGUCCAUCUUCUUCCCUGGAAGAAAAUGCUCAGCUUAGCUGGGUAGUUUAUUCUUGGCUGUAUCCCAAGUUCUUGUGCCUUUUGGAAUAUCAUAUUCCAGGCCCUUCUUUCCUUUAAUGAAGAGGCGGCCAGAUCUUGGGUGAUCCUUAUUGUGGCACCUCGGUAUUUAAAUGUUUUUUUUUUUGUUUGUUUUUUUUUUUUUGCUGCUUGUAAAAUUUUUUCCUUAAUCGGAUAGUUCUGAAAUUUGGCCACAAUAUUCCUUGGGGUUUUUAUUUUAGGGUUUCUUUCAGAAGGUGUUCGAUGAAUUCUUUCAAUGCCUAUUUUACCUUCUGAUUCUAUUACAUCUGGGCAGUUCUCUUUGAUGAUUUCUUGUAAAAUAGUAUCUAGGCUCUUCUUUUCAUCAUAGUUUUCGGAAAGUCCAAUAAUCCUCAGAUUAUCUCUCCUAGAUCUAUUUUCCAAGUCUGUCAUUUUUGCAAGUAGAUAAUUCGUGGUUUUUUCCAGUUUGUCAUUUUUUUGUUUUUGCUUGACUGAUUCUUGCUGUCUCAAUUAAUCAUUAAUUUCUCUUUGUUCAGCUCUAAUUUUUAAAGAAUUAUUUUCUUCAUUAGCUUUUUUUACUUCUUUCUGUAUAUGUCCAAUUGAGUUUUUAAAUGUAUUGUUUUGGUCUGUGGAAUUUUUUUCAAUUUCACUAAUUUUUUUUUUUUUUUUAGUGAAUUAUUUUCUUUUUCCAGUUCACGGAUCCUACUUUCUAGUGAAUUCUUUAUUUUUUCCAAUUCACAAUUCUUACUUUCCUGAGAUUUUUUUACUUUUUCCAAUUCGUAUUUCAGGAAGUUGUUGCUCUCUUGUAAGGCUUCUCUUUCCUUUCCCAAUUUAUCUUCUAACUCUCUUUUGAGACUUUUAAUGGUCUCUUCUAUGAGAGCAUCAUGUAAAGGAGGACAGUCUGAUGCAUUUUUGCUGUUUGAGGUCUCUUCAGGUUUGCUGACCUGCUCUUUUUCUGCAUAGAAGCUGUCGAUCGUUCUUUUCAUCCUUUUAUUCAUGUUUUAAAGCCUUUAGGAUAGGUCUCCUAGGCAAGGGGGUUACCAGCUUCCUCUGCAGAGCAGGGAAAGAUGUAAACCGAUUUCAGGCUCCAAGGUAUGGGAGUGCUCUGAGUGAGAGUUUUCCCUUCCCCCAACAGGAAGUGGAUUCAGCACUGGCCGAGCUAUCAAAGUGUGCAGUUGGGCUGAGUGGGUUAGCGAUUGCCCUCGGCUAGAGACUAAGGGGUGAAAGUGUCACUGCCCCAGGCCGGAGCCUCUUGUGGGACUGUGAAUAUUAGCAGCUGACCACUGACCGCAGACCGUGCCGAACUCUGCCCCAGUGUCUCUGCCUAAUGCAAAUCGACCCUGGAAAAGCUCUAUGGCCCCAAGUGGAGCUCCCCACUGUGCAGAUUGGAGGCUAACCCAGGCUGUGUCCUCCUGCCAUGCCGGAUCACAGCUGCCCCAAGGAAAAGCCCUGUACUGCGGGUCGGGGCUGUGCGCUUGUGCUGAGAUCUGUGCUUUCACUUUCGGUUUGAGGCUCUUCUCAGAACCUAAUUUCUCUCCCAGUUUGCCCUGAUCUCCGCCCUGGCCCCGGAACCAACCUUUUUUUUGGUGAGACUGCAGAUUUUCCUUGGCAGGUGAGUUGUUCUACUUCUCAUCUUUACGAAUUGUAGCAGUCAAGACUAUUUUUGAGGCUCGAUAUAAUAUUGAUAAAGAGGGUAAGAGAAGAGCUUAGAAAGUUGCGUGUGUCUUCUCUGCCAUCUUGGCUCCGCCCCCCCCAAUUCUAAUUUUUAAUGAAUUAUUUUCUUCAGUUAGCUUUUUUAGCUCCUUGUACAUUUGGUGAAUUGUAUUUUUAAAAGUGUUGUUUUGUUCAGUGAAUUUUUUUUUCUAUUUUACCAAUUCUAUUUUUAAGGAGUUGUUUUCUUUUUCCAUUUAGUCAAUACUCUUUUUUAGGGAAUUUUUUUUUCAAUAUAUAUUUUUUUUUCAUUUCACCAUAUUUAUUUUUAAGGGGUUGUUUUCUUCAGUCAGUUUCUGUGCUUUCUUGUCCAAGCUGUUAACUUUUCUCCCAAACUUGCAUAAACUUUAUAAACUCUCCUAUCUUUCCUCAUAUUUUUCAAAAAUCUAUUUUAAGUUUCCUUUUGAAUUCCUCCAAGAGAAUCUUUUGAUCUAGAAACCAGAUUAAAUCCUCCUUUGAUGCUUCACAGGUAAGCAUUUUGCCUUUGCUGUCUUCUGGGUUUAUGUUCUAAUCUUCCCUGGUUCGAUUGUAGCUUUCUAUAAUAAGAGCUCUUUUUGCUUUAAUGCUCGUUUUAAAAAGUGGAGCUCUGGGGAGAUUGUCCCAAGCUUCUUUUGCAAUGGGACAAAGGUCUUUCACAGACUGUACUGUGACUGGAGCUGGGGUUGGUUGUGCUUGCUUUCCCACUGCAUGAACUGACCCUGGCCAGGUCCUGCAUGUUAUACUACAGUUUGGGGGCUCACAAUUUGCCUUCUGUGGUUGUAUUAGAGUUCUCAUUCUGGUCUGCUGAUCUACUGGCCUUCUGAACUAGGACCAAGUUGCCAAUGUUGCUGUAUUUUAGCUAAUAUAUAGUAAUAACAAUAUAUUCCCUGCAUUGGCCUUCCUUGGAUUUUGCCCACACUGAGCUGUGUUCCCACCUACCCAAUUGAGACAGCCUUUCAAAAUGUCUUCAGCUGGAAAAUUAUCAUACUCCAAAUGUUGAUGGGUUCUAUCACUUCAAAAUCCUCUCAUAGGUUUUAUCUAGCGUUGAUCCUGGGGAAAGCUGGGAAGAACUCAGACAAUGUCCUAUCUACUCUCCACCAUCUGGACUUCUAUGCCUUAGACCAUACAUUUCAAAGCCACCUCCCAAUAAAAAGCAAAAAACAAAAGCAUAAACAAAAAAGAAAACAAUUCUCAAAUUUAUAUUGUGUGUAUUAUAUGGAAACAUUCCAUGACAACAUUUUACUUCUUUACUGUAAUGAUCUCAUAAUACAAUUUUGAGAUAAUAUUUUUACAAUUAAUAACCCCUAUGUAUGUAUAGAUAGAUAGAUAUAAAUAUACUCACAAUGUCUCUCAUAGUGCACAAAGUAUAUAUAAUAGGUAGCUAUCAAUACUCUUGAAUCAAUGAAAUGAAUCUACGAAGACAAUUGAAAUGUAUCUAGAAUUUAAUUCUCAAAUUAAAAAUGUAUUUUGUUUAACACUUAAGUGCGAGACAAAAAUUGAGUAAGAUACAAUAAUUUUUGUCAAUGAUCUUACAGCUAAGUGAGAGGGAUAGAAUAUAAACCGUUAUCAUAAAGAUGUUACAAAAAAUUAGAAAGUAGAAUCAGUUGCUAAUGUGUCUUUAUUGUUACAUUAUUUUAGCAACAAAAAACUGUUUUUUCCCUCCAUUUCUGAAUAAGUUCACCCUCUUCAAAGUAUCUUGAAAAAAUCAAUACCUAAGCAUCAUUAAAAUUGGAUUGCCAAUUUUUUAUAGGAUUUAGAGAUUUUAAGAGAAUUUAGAAAUUGCAGACCAAUUUUAUAACUUUAUAGGUGAUAAACAGAUAAAAGUAGUGAUGAAUAGUAUCUUGAACAAUUAUCCUUAAAUUCAUUUAAAUUUUUAUUUCUUUUAUAUUGCACCCAUAUGUACACACCCAUAUAUGCAUAUGUGUACAUGUGCUUUUUUUUUUUUUUUUUUUUUUUUGCUUUUCAUGUUUAGUGAAAAACCAACAAAUUUUUUCUGGUACUUUGUUGUAGAGUUCCAUGACUAUAUAAUAUAAUUGUCAAUGUUAUGGUAUAUUCCACCUCUAAUAGUUUUCCUGUUACAACUGAUAAAUUGAUAUCAAAAAAUGAGCAGAGUGGGUCAGUUUCAUGUCAGAAAUCAGAAGGUAGAUACAAAACUGAACCCAUCUUUGACUCUAAACUCUUUGUGUCUAAUGACUUUGGAUAAAAAAUCAAAAUUCAAAGCUUGUCUAGGAAAUUGGUAUUAGUUUUGUCUUUGUCAUUAAUUCAUCCAGCCAGCUGGUUACCUCUGCAUAAUCUUUCUCUAGAUCUCUCUAGCAAUCUAUAAGCAUACUAUAGCUAUCUUUAGAGAUACAUCAAUAGUCAUACAGAUUUACAUUGUUAUAUGGUCUAGUUACGUAGGUAUAGAAUGAAAGAUACUUUCAUAAUUAUAGUCAAAUAUAAACAUAAUGUAGUUUUUUUGUUCUUUAUUCUUUGUUUUAGAAAAGGAGCAAGGAAUUCACACAUAAUGUCUUGACUUGCAGGUGAAUUAUAUCUAAAUGAGACAGAGUUGCUCAAAAUUAUCAACCUCAUUUUUCGUUCUAGAAUCAUCUAAAUUCAGUGGCAAGACAAAAGUCAAGAUAAUUGGUGAUAGCUUGUGAUGCAGUGGAUGACGUUUGGUCUUUGAUGUCUAACCAAACUAUAAGUAUUCCAUAGGACCUUAUUGAUGAUAUAAAUAGAGACAGAUAUUUAUAUGUGCUUGUCACUUCUUAUCACAGGAUUCAAGAAAAAUAAAACAUCAUAGUAAGCCUUCAUGAGGAAAUGAUCUCCCUCUUCUCUUUGCCCAUGUGUGUCACUAUUAAUUUUUAAGUAUAUAAAAAGUUUGAUGUUUCAGAAUACUUCCUUUUGCAGUAUUGGUUAUUCACAUAAAAGCUUUGGGAGCAGAGCCAAUGUUUGAUAUAGGUUGUGGUCAGAAUAAAGAAAUGAUUUUUAAAAGUUAUUUUGGAUUUAUGACUUAAUGAUUUAUAAGCAAGAAAAAUGAAAGAAUACAUCACAGGAAAGAGAUGAUAAGAAUUUAAAAGCCACAAUGCAACUUUUUGCUGUCUCCGUGCUAUAUCCCAAAUUUAUAAUUAUAUAUCCCUUUCUUGAUUGAUUUUUCCCAAAAUCCAAAUUUUGGAAGCUAUUAAAUAAUAAAAGUCUUGACUUCAUAUAAUUGAGAGGUCAAUAUAAUUACUUUGCAAAAUAUCAGAAAUAACUUAUUUUCAAUAGUUUUUUUUUUUUUUCUGCAGUCUUAUAUCAAUGUAUAGGGGUACUGUCCAGUGAUGGAUAAAUUAUUUGAGCAUGCAGAAUUCAAACGAUCUGAUUCCAACUCAUGCUAAUUCUUAUGGAGCCUGCUUCUUGAAGUAUAUAAUGAAAGAAGGGUAUGUCCUAAGCUAAGGCAUACAAAGAUACUAUGUGAAUAUUUCCUGUUAGCUUAUGGAAUUAUGAAGAAAACAAUUUAGGAAUUCCACUUCCAAUCUUUUUAAAAUUGGUCACCAUCACUUCUCACACAAAUAAAGUCACAUCUAAACAACUGGAAAAAUAUCAGUUGCUUAUUGGUAGGCUGAACUAAUAUAAUAAAAAUGAAAAUUGUGCCUAAAUAUUUCUACUUAGUCAAUGCCAUACAAAUCAAAUUUCCAAAAAGAAAUUUAUAGGACUAGAGAUAAAAAUAAGAAAAUUCAUCUUGGAGAGCAAAAGGUCAAGAAUAUCAAGGUAAUUAAUAAAAAAUGCAAAGAAUUAUGGCAUAGCAAUAUCAAACCUAAAAUUAUAUCACAAAGCAGCAAUCAUAAGAACCAUUUGAUACUGGAUAAGAAAUAGAGUGGUUAAUCAGUGGAAUAGAUUAAACACACAUGACACAAUAAACACAGACCUAUAGUAAAAUCUAAUAUUUGAUAAACAACCAAAUUCUAGAUUCUGGAAUAAGAACUCACUGUUAGACAAAAAUUGCUGGGAAAACUGAAAAAUAAUAUGCUAGAAACUCAGAAUAGAUAUACAAUUCACUUACCAUACCAAAAUAAGGUCAACAUGGGUACAUGAUUUGUGCAUAAAGGAUGAUAUCAUUAAAAAACAAAUUAGGAGAACAAGGAAUAAUUUACCUAUCAAAUCUUUGAAGAAGAGAGAAAUUUAUGACUAAAGAAAAACUAGAGAACAUUAUGAAAGGCAAAAUGGACAACUUUGAUUACAUUAAAUUAAAAAAAAAGUUUUUGCACAAAUACAACCAACAGAAACAAGAAGAAAAGGUAAGUACACAGCUGGGGAAAAAUCUUUGUAGCCAGUGUUUUUGAUAAAGAUCUCAUUUCUAAAACAUUCCUAAAUUUCUAAACAAGUUGUGGUAUAUGAAGGUAAUGGAAUAUUAUUGUUCUACAAAAAAUAAUGAACAAACUGAUAUUAGAAAGGCCUGGAAAGAUUUAGAUGAACUGAUGCUGAGUGAAACAAGGAGAAUCAGGAAUACAUUGUACACAAUAACAGCAAGAAUGUGUGAUGAUCAGUAUGAAAGAUUUGGUUCUUCUCAGUGAUUCCGUGAUCCAAAGCAAUCCAAAUAGACUUUGGACAGAAAAUGCCAUCUGCAACCAGAAAAAAGGAAAUGAGGAGCCUGAAUGUAAAUCAACACAUGUUAUGUUCACUUUUUUCUGUUUUUUUUUUUUUUUUAAUCUCCCUUUCGGUUUUUCUCUUUUGCUCUGAUUUUUCUCUCCUAAAAUGAUUGAUAAUGUGAAGUAUACAAAAAUAAAUAAAUUUACUAGAAAAAAAUAAUCACCAUUUGAAGUAAAAUACAGCCCUUCUUAAAAAGAGAUUAAAGGAAUUAUAACAGGUAAUGAAGAAACUAAAUUAUUACUCUUUGUAAAUGAUAUGAUGGUAUACUAAGAGAACCCUAGAGAAUCAACUAAAAAACUAUUAGAAAUAAUCCACAACUUACUGGAAAUACAAAUAAAUUCAUAUAAAUCAUCAACAUUUUUAUACAUCACUAACAAAAUCCAACAACAAGAGAUACAAAGAGAAAUUCCAUUUAAAAUAACUCAAUAGUAUAAAAUAUUUGGGAAUCUAUUUUCCAAGGGAAAGUCAGAAAGUAUAUGAGCAAAAUUACAAAACACUUUCCACACAAAUAAAGUCAAAUCUUAACAUUUGGAAAAAAUAUCAAGUGCUCUUGGAUAUAAUAAAGAUAACAAUACUACCUAAACUAAUCUAUUUACUUAGAGCUAUACCAAUCAAACUCCCUAGAAACUAUUUUACUGACCUAGAAAAAAUAACAACAAAAUUAAUCUGGAAGAACAAAAGGUCAAGUAUUUCAAGGGAAUUAAUAAUAAUAAAAAAAAAGCAAAUGGAGGUGGCCUAGCUGUACCAGAUCUAAAACUAUAUUAUAAAGCAGCAGUCAUCAAAUCCAUUUGGUACUGGCUAAGAAAUAGACUAGUUGAUCAGUGGAAUAUGUUAGGUUCAUAGGACAAAAUAGUCAAUAAUUACAUCAAUCUACUGUUUGUCAAACCCAAAGACCCCAACUUUUGAAAUAAAAACUCACUAUCUGACAAAAACUGCUGGGAAAAUUGGAAACUAGUAUGAUAGAAACUAGGAAAUGACCCACACCUAACACCAUAUACCAGAAACAAA